AUUAAUAAAAGUAGUGAAUGCAACAAGAGCCACCCUUUUCUUUCCUUUGUCAGGUCCUGAAGGGGGCAGGGCGGGAGCAGGAGAGCCUGCAGACACCGGAGACGUGCCAGACGUGUGACAGGAAGGGCUCGGCGAAACGGGGAGCUGCUCAGUCUUGUUGCACUACCGAGGCCUUCCUCUCACCAUCCUCCACCCAUGAGCCAGCGAACAAGAAAGCCUCGGGGAGAAUCUUCCGUUUACCAAGCUCUGAGCUAGGAAUCCAGGAGGAGUGCUGCAGUUAGGGAGUAUGGGGUCAGCUUCCUGUCCUGCAGUGGGAUGCCCAAUGUGCAUUCCUUCAUUCAAAUCUACCUUGAGACUGGCCCCGUCCAUGGCUCUGAAAAUACAGUAGUAAAUAAAGCAGACACACUCCACCUUCUCAAGGUACUGGAUUUAGUCUGUUGGAAAGAUAAAGAAGACAUUGAAAGUUAACUGAAAUACAAGAUGUAAAUGGCAAAUGCGAAGUAAAGACUGGCAGCACCCGAUGAAUAGGUCUAAUACGAAUAGUGUGGAUAUAGCGUGCCCAGCCUGGUGCUAGUGUUGGGGCGGGGGGAGGAGUGGGCAGCAGAACAGAAUUACAUACGUGCCCCCUUCUCCAGGAGCUGUUGAUGUCUCUCACAAGAAUGCCCAGAAGGCAACCGCAAAUAUUUGUACACCCGUCUUGGCUUCUCAUGAUGGCGCAGGGAGAGCCUUGGUGGGAAGAGAACAGAGGGAGUUGUCCAGUGGCCUUGGGUUCCUGCCAGAGGCUCCCUCCAGCAGCGGAUCCCGGGGCCUCGGGUUCUCACCUGGGAGAGGAGGGACUGGUCUUCAUCAUCUCUGACUGCUCUGAUCGCUCUUGUUGUGGGAUGGACACUGCUGGCUGAUUACCCCCUUCAGCCCACGAGAAGGAGCAGGAGCAGCCUCUGGUCAACUGUAAUCCCUGCAGACAGAGCUCAAAUCUAUGAGUGAGCGCUUAGUGGUCCCUUUGCACAGGAGAAGCUGAAAAUUAGAGCGUGGCUCAGCUUCGGGCUGCCAGAGGUUUGAAUCCUGGCUCUGCCACUCAGCAGCUUGAGAGAAAUGAUGUAAGCUCUCACGCAGUGUGUCUGCUUCUUCAUUUGUAAAUGAGAAUAAUAACAGUACCUCACAGAUUUGUAAGACUGAGUAAAAGAGUGCAUGCAAAGGAUUUAGAAAUGU
Molecule: long non-coding RNA, 1209 nt
Filed under: Dasypus novemcinctus (nine-banded armadillo)
Lineage: Eukaryota; Metazoa; Chordata; Mammalia; Cingulata; Dasypodidae
Description: lncRNA (ENSDNOG00000052476.1)
Source: RNAcentral